CCCCCCACUCCCCUUUCUCAUGCUAUCCACCACUACUCUUGUACCUUCUUUGCUGCAAUGGCGGUUUCAGCUGUUUCUGUUUCCAGCAAGAGGCCAAUGUCAAUAUCAUUAUUGUCCUCCUGGAUGCUCUUCGCGGUGUUCUUGCACACUGCACAAGCCACGAGACUGCUGGAUUCUUCCAACUGGGACCCCAAGAUUCUGCUGCCUUCCCAGCUGGAUGAUGAAUCCGCUCCUGUUGAUGACCAAGAAGAAGAAGAAGCAGCUGGCACCCGAUGGGCGGUUCUUGUAGCUGGUUCAUCUGGCUUUGGCAAUUACAGGCACCAGGCGGAUGUGUGCCAUGCAUACCAGUUGCUUAAAAAGGAUGGCCUGAAAGAAGAGAACAUAGUGGUGUUUAUGCACGAUGACAUUGCUACUGACCCCUUGAACCCUAGACCUGGUGUCAUCAUUAACCAUCCAGAGGGACCUAAUGUCUAUGACGGAGUCCCCAAGGAUUACACCGGUGGGAACGUGACAACAGAGAACCUGUUUGCUGUACUUCUUGGGGACAAGACUAAACUCAAGGGUGGAAGUGGCAAAGUAAUUGAUAGCAAACCCAAUGACAGGAUAUUCUUCUUCUACUCUGAUCAUGGAGGCCCGGGAGUCCUUGGGAUGCCAAACUUGCCAUACCUGUAUGGGAAGGAUUUUGUUGACGUGUUGAAGAAGAAGCAUGCUGCUAAGGGUUACAAGGAGAUGGUUAUAUAUAUAGAAGCUUGCGAAAGUGGGAGCUUCGUUGAGGGUAUUAUGCCAACUGAUUUGAACGUUUAUGUGACAACUGCAUCCAAUGCAGAAGAGAGUAGUUGGGGAACUUAUUGCCCUGGGAUGGAUCCUGCUCCACCCCCAGAGUACAUCACUUGUCUUGGUGAUUUGUACAGCGUGUCUUGGAUGGAAGACAGCCAGACUCACAAUCUUAAAAAAGAAACCGUGCAGCAACAAUAUCAAUCGGUGAAGGAACGGACUUCUAAUUAUAACAACUAUGCGAUUGGUUCUCAUGUGAUGGAGUAUGGUGAUACCAAAAUCAAAGCUGACAAGCUCUCUCUCUUUCAAGGCUUCGAUCCUGCAUCCAUCAACUUCCCUCCAAACAACAGCAUCCUACCACCACAGACCCCUGUUGAAGUUGUUAACCAGAGAGAUGCAGAUCUUUUCUUCAUGUGGCAAAGGUGCGAGUUGGUUUUUGCUCUGUUUACAGUACAAGAGAUUGGAGCAUGAAGCAGAAGAAAAGGCACAAGCCCUGAAGGAGAUUAGAGACACAGUGAAUCACAGGAAUCAUAUAGAUGGCAGUGUGAAAUUGAUUGGUACUUUGCUGUAUGGACCUGGAAAAUCAUCCUCAGUUCUGGAAUCAGUGAGGGAACAUGCUGGUCUGCCUCUUGUUGAUGACUGGACAUGCUUAAAAUCAAUGGUUCGAGUGUUUGAAAGUCACUGUGGAUCAUUGACUCAGUACGGCAUGAAACACAUGAGGGCAUUCGCGAAUAUUUGCAACAGCGGUGUCUCUGAAGCAUCCAUGGAGGAGGCUUGUGUAGCAGCUUGUGGAGGAUAUGAGCCUCGCGAUUUACAUCCAUCAAAUAGAGGCUAUAGUGCUUGAUUCUGCAUACUGCCAACUUCUCUGUUCUUGGUGCACUAUGGAUCGGAAUGUGGAUUUCCAAAUCUGUGUGUAACUAUAAAUAGAUGUAUCAAUAAAAAUAGUUUCCCUAUGCAGCUUAUGCUUAUGUAUUUGUGGCUCGUCCUUUAUGGGUAACUAACGGAGCGGCCCCUGCAUUCAAAUAAUAAUGUAUAUAUGUUUUCCAUGA
Molecule: non-coding RNA, 1823 nt
Organism: Arachis ipaensis
Lineage: Eukaryota; Viridiplantae; Streptophyta; Magnoliopsida; Fabales; Fabaceae
Source: RefSeq, a predicted model, not a curated record